AAGUCGUAACAAGGUUUCCGUAGGUGAACCUGCGGAAGGAUCAUUAACACGUAUCCACGUAUCAACUAAUACCACGAACUGUUCUCCCCGUAGACACCCUACCUCUGCGCUGUCUUUCGAGUUUAUAAUGGGUCGCACUUCGGUGUGACAGAGCUCGGACGCACUAUUCACUCUCCGAGGUGAAGGCAAAGUAACUGGCUUGUCGGGCUUUAUUCUUCAUUCCAUUGAAUGUACCCAUUUUCCAUUCAUGGUUUGAUAACCCAUACCAUUUUCACCCUAUUUUACCUAUUUGACUAAUAUAACUUCAUUGGCAGCAAUGUCUUUGAUUUUCUAAGAUUUAUCUUAACUAAGCACAACUCUUAGCAAUGGAUAUCUUGGUUCUC
This 383-nucleotide unclassified non-coding RNA is filed under the name fungal sp. RNAcentral describes it as "partial internal transcribed spacer region". The stretch from base 1 to 46 matches the Rfam family "Eukaryotic small subunit ribosomal RNA", at positions 1786 to 1831 of the family's 1831-position model. Lineage: Eukaryota; Fungi. The record is from RNAcentral.